This is a long non-coding RNA of Phragmites australis (common reed), 502 nucleotides long. RefSeq lists it as uncharacterized. NCBI's taxonomy places the organism in Eukaryota, Viridiplantae, Streptophyta, Magnoliopsida, Poales, Poaceae. The record is from RefSeq and is a predicted model, not a curated record. The transcript is spliced from 3 exons.
CUCUCUUGACCACUUCUAUCUCUCUCCUCUCCCUCUCCACCUAGAUCCACGUGACAGGUGAUUGACGGCUCCCACGCCAGGCCGGGCUGCUCCUAGAGGCGCAAUUCGUGGUAUUCGUUCGAUGAUACUCCGAUCCCGAGUAGUACGCGUGGUGGCUGCGCAUGUUCACUGCCAACCUGGCACACCCCACAACGCACUAGGCACUGGACCCCACCGCACGGUCGCAGUACCUCGCCGUGAAGAACCUCAUGAGCGAUGAGAGGAAUGUGAUGGCGAGGGCCGAUUCGGACAAUUUCAUAGCCAUCAUCACGCAGGUGGAGAGCUUGCAAGAGCUCGGUUUAGCUAUUUGGAGCUCAAAGUUUGUGGAGGAUCAUCUAUCCAGAAAACUCUGAUCAAGGAAACAGCUUCUUGUGGCGCUGCACAUUUGAUCCUCGGUGUUGCAAAGAAUUCUCUGUUGUAUUAUUGCUAUCGAACUAUCUGAUGAAUGUUUAAUUUGUGCAAA